GUGGAGCAGGUGGCUUAAUUUGACUCAACGCGGGGAAUCUUACUAGGUCAGGACCGAUUCAUGAAUGUCACCGUAAUGUGUCGCCGGUACAUGAUUGUUGGAUGAGUGGUGCAUGGCCGUUCUUAGUUCGUGGUGUGAUUCGUUGCAUUAAUUUGUUUCGUUUCAUGUCUCGCGGCAAAGAACGUAAAAACGAACGAGACCGUGGCCUGUAUAAAACUACAGGGACAGGGGAACAAUACUACUACACACCAGGAAGGGCACGGCAAUAACAGGUCUGUGAUGCCCUCAGAUGUUCUAGGCCGCACACGUGCUACAAUUGCCUCCGUAGUUGUAGUGCGCGUGUUGUGAGAUCCCCCGCGUAGAGUCAAGUUGAGUCCCCUAGUUGAGAUCGUCGGUUGUAACUAUCUGACGUCGUAACUAGGAAUGCCUCGUACGGUGGGAUCAACGAGUUCCAUUGGAAUCCGUCCCUGCCCUUUGUACACACCGCCCGUCGCUCUUACCGAUGGCGGUGGUUUCGAAUGUCACCGAGUGGGUCUCGCGACUCGCAACGUAACGUAAGAAACCGCCGCUAAAGGAAAGAGAAGUCGUAACAAGGCAUCG
This 600-nucleotide ribosomal RNA is filed under the name Amphistegina lessonii. RNAcentral's name for it is "SSU rRNA". It matches the Rfam family "Eukaryotic small subunit ribosomal RNA", at positions 1176 to 1804 of the family's 1831-position model. The record is from RNAcentral. Lineage: Eukaryota; Foraminifera; Rotaliida; Amphisteginidae.